GAAGCGGGAAAAGCUCAAAUUUAAAAUCUGGUGGUCUUUGGCCAUCCGAGUUGUAAUCUAGAGAAGUGUUAUCCGCGCUGGACCGUGUACAAGUCCCCUGGAAUGGGGCGUCAUAGAGGGUGAGAAUCCCGUCUUUGACACGGACUACCAGGGCUUUGUGAUGCACUCUCAAAGAGUCGAGUUGUUUGGGAAUGCAGCUCAAAAUGGGUGGUAAAUUCCAUCUAAAGCUAAAUAUUGGCGAGAGACCGAUAGCGAACAAGUACCGUGAGGGAAAGAUGAAAAGAACUUUGGAAAGAGAGUUAAACAGUACGUGAAAUUGUUGAAAGGGAAACGCUUGAAGUCAGUCGCGUCUGCCAGGGAUCAACCUUACUUUUGUGAGGCGUACUUCCUGGUUGAUGGGUCAGCAUCAGUUUUGGUCGCUGGAUAAAGGUCAGAGAAAUGUGGCACCUUCGGGUGUGUUAUAGUCUUUGAUCAGAUACAGUGGCUGGGACUGAGGAACUCAGCGCCGCAAGGCUGUCUUAGGAUGCUGGCAAAAUGGCUUUAAUCGACCCGUCUUGAAACACGGACCAAGGAGUCUAACAUGCCUGCGAGUGUUUGGGUGGAAAACCCGAGCGCGUAAUGAAAGUGAAAGUUGGGAUCCCUGUCAUGGGGAGCACCGACGCCCAUACCAGAAGUUUACGGACGGAUAUGCGGUAGAGCAUGUAUGUUGGGACCCGAAAGAUGGUGAACUAUGCCUGAAUAGGGCGAAGCCAGAGGAAACUCUGGUGGAGGCUCGUAGCGAUUCUGACGUGCAAAUCGAUCGUCGAAUUUGGGUAUA
RNAcentral lists this ribosomal RNA (817 nucleotides) under Rhodotus palmatus. RNAcentral describes it as "LSU rRNA". It matches the Rfam family "Eukaryotic large subunit ribosomal RNA", at positions 95 to 919 of the family's 3401-position model. Lineage: Eukaryota; Fungi; Basidiomycota; Agaricomycetes; Agaricales; Physalacriaceae. The record is from RNAcentral.